UACGUAGGGCGCAAGCGUUGUCCGGAAUUAUUGGGCGUAAAGAGCUCGUAGGCGGUUUGUCGCGUCUGCUGUGAAAUCCUCAGGCUCAACUUGGGGCGUGCAGUGGGUACGGGCAGACUAGAGUGCGGUAGGGGAGACUGGAAUUCCUGGUGUAGCGGUGGAAUGCGCAGAUAUCAGGAGGAACACCGAUGGCGAAGGCAGGUCUCUGGGCCGUUACUGACGCUGAGGAGCGAAAGCAUGGGGAGCGAACAGG
Molecule: ribosomal RNA, 253 nt
Filed under: uncultured bacterium
Lineage: Bacteria
Also listed under: 1 other name
Description: partial 16S ribosomal RNA
Rfam family: Bacterial small subunit ribosomal RNA
Source: RNAcentral